RNAcentral lists this ribosomal RNA (660 nucleotides) under Pseudomonas fluorescens. Its description in RNAcentral is "bacterial SSU rRNA". It matches the Rfam family "Bacterial small subunit ribosomal RNA", at positions 56 to 709 of the family's 1533-position model. The record is from RNAcentral. Lineage: Bacteria; Pseudomonadati; Pseudomonadota; Gammaproteobacteria; Pseudomonadales; Pseudomonadaceae.
UGCAAGUCGAGCGGUAGAGAGAAGCUUGCUUCUCUUGAGAGCGGCGGACGGGUGCAGUAAUGCCUAGGAAUCUGCCUGGUAGUGGGGGAUAACGUUCGGAAACGGACGCUAAUACCGCAUACGUCCUACGGGAGAAAGCAGGGGACCUUCGGGCCUUGCGCUAUCAGAUGAGCCUAGGUCGGAUUAGCUAGUUGGUGAGGUAAUGGCUCACCAAGGCGACGAUCCGUAACUGGUCUGAGAGGAUGAUCAGUCACACUGGAACUGAGACACGGUCCAGACUCCUACGGGAGGCAGCAGUGGGGAAUAUUGGACAAUGGGCGAAAGCCUGAUCCAGCCAUGCCGCGUGUGUGAAGAAGGUCUUCGGAUUGUAAAGCACUUUAAGUUGGGAGGAAGGGCAUUAACCUAAUACGUUAGUGUUUUGACGUUACCGACAGAAUAAGCACCGGCUAACUCUGUGCCAGCAGCCGCGGUAAUACAGAGGGUGCAAGCGUUAAUCGGAAUUACUGGGCGUAAAGCGCGCGUAGGUGGUUUGUUAAGUUGGAUGUGAAAUCCCCGGGCUCAACCUGGGAACUGCAUUCAAAACUGACUGACUAGAGUAUGGUAGAGGGUGGUGGAAUUUCCCUGUGUAGCGGUGAAAUGCGUAGAUAUAGGAAGGAACAC